Non-coding RNA from Coturnix japonica (Japanese quail), 1219 nucleotides. The record is from RefSeq and is a predicted model, not a curated record. NCBI's taxonomy places the organism in Eukaryota, Metazoa, Chordata, Aves, Galliformes, Phasianidae.
UUAGACCUCAUUUAAGACCUGGCUACCACUGGGGUAGGUUCUCUUGCUGGAAAUUUUUUUCUUUGUGAAGGUUUUCCUAUGAGCCUGGAUUUUCUGAGGGAGCUGUGGAACUUCUAAUGCAUACCAAAAUACCUCGGAGGACAUGAGUUUUCUCCAGAAUUGCCCGGUUUCUGAAUAGGGCAACUGAGCUACGUUCGAAAAAGAUCUGAAGGUGGUCUGACAAUAAGUAAUGAACUAAGAAGACUUCAGAGGAGAAGACAAAAUCUACUACUCAUCAGCAGGAAGAUAUGGUUGGUGCAAAGGCUACUGAAGAACAUAAGCUGUCAGGAGCAGCUGACUAGUCUGCACAUCCAGCUCAACAUUACUCUGUGAGAUAAAUGCAGGACAGGUGCCUCUUUACACAAAUACACUCAAUCUAUAAGGUGAAUGGGCAACCUGUGACCUGUGUCAAAGAGAAGAUGAUGGCUCUCUAUGACAGCUAUGAACAUACUAGGCGGCAUACUACAUAGGAACACAGCACAUCUUCCUGCUACAUUACUUCCAAAACAAGCACAGUGAAUGAUUAAAGACCAGGAGGAGGUCCCAGCUGACAGGGAUUGCGCUCAGGGUUUGCAGAGAUUCUUGCCCUUUGUGCUCCCUGGUUCACUGCAAAGCUUCUGAACAAAUAAUUUGUUUUUACAAAUUUAUAACCUAUCUCAUGUAAAUUGUAUUUUUGUCUUUUGACAUUUAAAUUCCAUUUUCUUUCUAUUGUAUGUAACAUUGUAGUCUAUCACUGAGUUCUAACAAAGAUUGGGGAAGGUUACUAAGUAGACUUAAGUUUCCAGAAGGAUGAAAUCCCCUGUUCCUUAUCCUUCUGUCAUCAGUUUUUCUGCUGCUGUCAUCCUGCACUUUGAGAAUCUAAGAAAAAUCUCUCACAUCUUGAAAUCAGAACCUCAAGUGCUUUGUCCCUUUGUCAGAAACCACCUUUAGAUUGUAUUAAGGGGAAUAAUGGUGUUACCUCAAAGUUGCUUAACAUCCUCUCUGAAACACAAAACCCUCCUGGAUUGUUUAAUACUAGGAGAUAUCUUGAAUUGUGCAGAUUUAAAUGAGAGAUUCAUUGAAUAAUCCCACCGAACUCGUUGGAAUGUUUUUGACAUUGUAGCAUAUUAAUGUUCCCUUGUGUGAUUGCCUUUCCACGUACUGCAUGUUUCUUUAAAUACAUACAUGAAAAUGAUCCAAA